Molecule: ribosomal RNA, 442 nt
Filed under: uncultured bacterium
Lineage: Bacteria
Description: partial 16S ribosomal RNA
Rfam family: Bacterial small subunit ribosomal RNA
Source: RNAcentral
CCUACGGGAGGCAGCAGUAGGGAAUCUUUCACAAUGGGCGAAAGCCUGAUGGAGUAACGCCGCGUGCAGGAUGAAGGCCUUCGGGUUGUAAACUGCUUUUAUAAGCGAGAAAUAUGAUGGUAACUUAUGAAUAAGGAUCGGCUAACUACGUGCCAGCAGCCGCGGUCAUACGUAGGAUCCGAGCAUUAUCCGGAGUGACUGGGUGUAAAGAGUUGCGUAGGUGGCAUAAUAAGUAGCUAGGGAAAUCUGGUGGCUCAACCAUUCAGACUAUUAGCUAAACUGUUCAGCUCGAGACCGUUAGGGGUAACUGGAAGUUCUAGUGUAGGAGUGAAAUCCGUAGAUAUUAGAAGGAACACCAAUAGCGUAGGCAGGUUGCUGGGACGGUUCUGACACUAAGGCACGAAAGCGUAGGGAGCAAACGGGAUUAGAUACCCUAGUAGUC